Molecule: ribosomal RNA, 492 nt
Filed under: uncultured bacterium
Lineage: Bacteria
Description: partial 16S ribosomal RNA
Rfam family: Bacterial small subunit ribosomal RNA
Source: RNAcentral
AGUGAACGCUGGCGGUAGGCCUAACACAUGCAAGUCGAACGGCAGCACAGUAAGAGCUUGCUCUUACGGGUGGCGAGUGGCGGACGGGUGAGGAAUACAUCGGAAUCUACUUUUUCGUGGGGGCUAACGUAGGGAAACUUACGCUAAUACCGCAUACGACCUCCGGGUGAAAGCAGGGGAUCUUCGGACCUUGCGCGAUUGAAUGAGCCGAUGUCGGAUUAGCUAGUUGGCGGGGUAAAGGCCCACCAAGGCGACGAUCCGUAGCUGGUCUGAGAGGAUGAUCAGCCACACUGGAACUGAGACACGCUCCAGACUCCUACGGGAGGCAGCAGUGGGGAAUAUUGGACAAUGGGCGCAAGCCUGAUCCAGCCAUACCGCGUGGGUGAAGAAGGCCUUCGGGUUGUAAAACCCUUUUGUUGGGAAAGAAAAGCAGCAGGUUAAUACCCCGCUGUUCUGACGGUACCCAAAGAAUAAGCACCGGCUAACUUCGUG